ACUCAAAUGAAUUGACGGGGGCCCGCACAAGCAGCGGAGCGUGUGGUUUAAUUCGAUGCAACGCGAAGAACCUUACCCAGACUUGACAUGGCCUCGCAAGCCGGGGAAACCCGGCCCUCUUCGGACGGGGUCACAGAUGUUGCAUGGCUGUCGUCAGCUCGUGUCGUGAGAUGUUGGGUUAAGUCCCGCAACGAGCGCAACCCUCGUGAACUGUUGCUACUCAGUUCAGACUGCCGGUACAAGCCGGAGGAAGGUGGGGAUGACGUCAAGUCCGCAUGGCUCUUACGUCUGGGGCUACACACACGCUACAAUGGCCGGGACAGUGCGCAGCCACGGGGCGACCCGGAGCGAAUCGCAAAACCCGGUCUCAGUUCGGAUGGCAGGCUGCAACUCGCCUGCCUGAAGUCGGAGUUGCUAGUAACCGCGUGUCAGCAUAGCGCGGUGAAUAUGUUCCCGGGCCUUGUACACACCGCCCGU
Molecule: ribosomal RNA, 477 nt
Filed under: uncultured bacterium
Lineage: Bacteria
Description: partial 16S ribosomal RNA
Rfam family: Bacterial small subunit ribosomal RNA
Source: RNAcentral